RNA transcript from Quercus robur (English oak), 1764 nucleotides. RefSeq lists it as uncharacterized. The transcript is spliced from 3 exons. The record is from RefSeq and is a predicted model, not a curated record. Lineage: Eukaryota; Viridiplantae; Streptophyta; Magnoliopsida; Fagales; Fagaceae.
AGACUUUUCCUCUAUUAUAUAGGAAAUAGUUUCAAUAGAAAAUUUCACUCUCGCUUACUGUCUCGCCUGUAUACAGUAUCGGAGCAUAUUCUUCUUCUCCAUGGCUUCCGCUUCCAAGCACCAAAACCCAUAUUCUUCUUCAAAACCUCCCAAACCCCCAAACCCCAACACCCACACUGACACCGCAAAUUCUCCUAUCAUCACUCUCACUCCUUCCCAAGAACACCUCUUCCUCACACGCGCCACCCACCUGACACGCCAAGAACUCCUCCGCCGCCGCUCCCACUACCUCAAACAGCUCUGCAAAUGCUACAGAGUCCACUUUUGGGCUCUCAUGGACCAACUCAGAUUCCAAUUCAGACAAUACUGCUGGGACUAUGGUCUCAGCCCCUUCUUAAACGAACAACACACGGCUGAAUUUGACGGAGAGAGAGACACCCAAUUUGCCAAUCUUGAAGGCAAUGAAGUAUACAGCAGCAACAACCAGAGGUGUGCGUUUCUGGGGUGUAAGUUGAAGUCCAUGCCUUUGACCAGCUUUUGCCAUCUCCAUAUUCUCUCUGAUUCCAAACAGAAGCUUUACAAGCCUUGCCAUUAUGUUAUCAAGAGUGCUCAGGCGGGACCAAUAACAUGUGGGAAGCCCAUAAUGAGAUCCACUGUACCUUCUCUCUGUAGCAUCCACUUCCAAAAGACUCAGAAGAAUGUCACAAGAGCCUUGAAGAAGGCUGGACUUAAUGUUUCCACAUCAAGUAAGCUUGCUUCCAAUUUCCAUGUCAUUGUGGCAGAAUAUGUACGCCAAAUUCAGGCCAAACGGAGGACUGCAAAAAGGGCAAAUAGAAGUAAGGUAGUGGUUAAGGAAGAAAUUGCUGGCUGAGCCUCAUGUCUAUUUACCCCUGGUGCAUGAGUGAUUCUAAAUGAUGGGAAACCUCCGGAGUUGAACUGCUGGCUUGCAACUGCAACAAAGUUGAAGCGUUCAUGUGUUUUUUUGUCAAAUAAAUGUUCGAAGUUGGGAGGUUUUAGGACAUUUGCGGAUUCAUCAAAGAUGCUGCCUGCUUUGCUGGUCAAUUCUGUUGGAUGUUGAACAUUGGGUAUCAAGCAUUUUAAACCUGUGCUUAAAUUCCUCCAUCUUGCCUGUAGAAAAUUAGUUUUGACUUAGUAUUGAUUGCUAUUGAAUGUUCGGUAUGUUGAGUCGCACGAAAUGAUGUAUAUAGCUAUUUAAUUUGUGAAGGAGGUCUUGUGGGAACUCCCUCUCUCUCUUGUAUAUAUUUGGGUGGCCCUGUGUUGGCACAAUGGAAUGAUGAUGCAUCACUAACAGAGCACUCAAGUGGCACUAAGAUGGUAUGAAAAAAAAUGAGCUUCACUCAAAUGCAAUUGGCAGGGAAUAUUUGGAUUUUGUGUUCUGUGAUAAAUAGUGCUAAGGAGGCGCUAAGAACCAUUUCAAGAUAUAGUUUGUUUUCUUGCUCCAAGGGGUAGAAAAAUAAGAAUUUUAUAUGUGACUGGCAGUAGAAUGUGUCAAUUUUAACAGAUUUAUGUACUUACUCCGUAUACUUCAGGAUUGUUAGCAAUUUAAUGUAAUGGUCCAAGAGGAGGCCAUGUAUAUUGUAAGCCCAACUACGACUAAUCUUAGCCCCUUUAAACACCCUAUUUGGUGUUCAAUUUUAACACAGUUCAUUGUAGUAAAAAUGUAGCUGCUUCGACUUCCUUUGUGGACGUAAGUUGUCAAACCAAAUCGUGUAAACCUUGUAUUCUGAUAAUCUCUUGCUUCCA